AACGCAUAUUUGAUAAUGGUCCAUAAUGAUGUGAUUGUGGUCAUAAAAAGAGUUCUAAACAUGUUGUAAACUGAAAUUUUUAGGUAAAGAGUCCGGAUCGUCAAGCGGACAAGCCGAAAGGAAUCCACGGGGAAAGGGUGUGCUCUAAAGUUUCAGGUACCCAAGAAAAAGGAUGAUGAUCAAGCAAUCGAGUCGAACCGAACACACAUAUUAUAACGCUUCCGCACUUGAUAUUUUGUUUUGUAACUAUGUAAACACUCGUAGUUUUACCUUGAACAUCGUUUAGUAGGUUAAACAUGUGAAUGUUGUAACUAGUUGGUUCUCAAAUCUUGAAAGUUUUUGUAAAGUCUACUUUUGGCAUAAAUUGUAAGUCUUACAUGUUGUUAAA
Molecule: long non-coding RNA, 388 nt
Organism: Helianthus annuus (common sunflower)
Lineage: Eukaryota; Viridiplantae; Streptophyta; Magnoliopsida; Asterales; Asteraceae
Exons: 2
Source: RefSeq, a predicted model, not a curated record